AGUGGAUGGGGAGCAACCUAGUUGUGCGUGUGUAAAGGUAGUGCCAAGAAAAGCGAUGAUCAUGUUGAAAAUCAAUUCCCGGUACCCGAAACCGACACAGGUGGGCAAGUAGAGAAUACUAAGGGGCGCGAGGUAACUCUCUCCAAGGAACUCGGCAAAAUGACCCCGUAACUUAGGGAGAAGGGGUGCCACCGAGAGGUGGUCGCAGUGAAGAGGCCCAGGCGACUGUUUAGCAAAAACAUAGGUCUCUGCAAACUCGAAAGAGGAGGUAUAGGGGCUGACGCCUGCCCAGUGCCGGAAGGUUAAAGAAGUUGGUCAGUUUUAGGAUGAAGCUAGCGACUGAAGCCCCGGUGAACGGCGGCCGUAACUAUAACGGUCCUAAGGUAGCGAAAUUCCUUGUCGGGUAAGUUCUGACCCGCACGAAAGGCGUAACGAUCUGGGCGCUGUCUCGGAGAGAGGCUCGGCGAAAUAGGAUUGUCUGUGAAGAUACGGACUACCUGCAUUUGGACAGAAAGACCCUAUGAAGCUUUACUAUAGCUUGGAAUUGUGUUCGGGCUUCCUGUGCGCAGGAUAGGUGGGAGGCGUAGAAGGUAUUCUUGUGGGGAUACUGGAGCCAACGGUGAGAUACCACUCUCAGGAGGCUAGAAUUCUAACUUAAUUAAGGACAGUUUCAGGUGGGUAGUUUGACUGGGCGGUCGCCUCCAAAAAGGUAACGGAGGCGUACAAAGGUUCCCUCAGACUGGUUGGAAAUCAGUCGAAGAGUGCAAAGGCGGAAGGGAGCUUGACUGCGAGAAGUACAGUUCGAGCAGGGUGGAAACACGGUCUUAGUGAUCCGACGGUGCUGUGUGGAAGGGCCGUCGCUCAACGGAUAAAAGUUACUCUAAGGAUAACAGGCUGAUCUCCCCCAAGAGUUCACAUCGACGGGGAGGUUUGGCACCUCGAUGUCGGCUCAUCGCAACCUGGGGCGGAAGUACGUCCCAAGGGUUGGGCUGUUCGCCCAUUAAAGCGGUACGUGAGCUGGGUUCAGAACGUCGUGAGACAGUUCGGUCCAUAUCCGAUGUAGGCGUGAGAAUAUUGAGAGGAGCCUUCCUUAGUACGAGAGGACCGGGAAGGACGCACCGCUGGUGUACCUGUUAUGAUGCCAAUUGUAAACGCAGGGUAGCCAAGUGCGGAGAGGAUAACCGCUGAAAGCAUCUAAGUGGGAAGCCCACCUCAAGAUGAGUAUUCUGGUGUAAGGUCACGGGAAGACGACCCGUAAAUAGGCACGAGGUGGAAGUGCAGAGAUGUAUGAAGCCGAAGUGUACUAAUAGACCGUCGGCUUGAUC
This 1325-nucleotide ribosomal RNA is filed under the name metagenome. RNAcentral's name for it is "bacterial LSU rRNA". It matches the Rfam family "Bacterial large subunit ribosomal RNA", at positions 1561 to 2925 of the family's 2925-position model. The record is from RNAcentral.